UGGGGAAUCUUCCGCAAUGGACGAAAGUCUGACGGAGCAACGCCGCGUGAGUGAUGACGGCCUUCGGGUUGUAAAGCUCUGUUAAUCGGGACGAAUGGUUCUUGUGCGAAUAGUGCAAGGAGUUGACGGUACCGGAAUAGAAAGCCACGGCUAACGACGUGCCAGCAGCCGCGGUAAUACGUAGGUGGCAAGCGUUGUCCGGAAUUAUUGGGCGUAAAGCGCGCGCAGGCGGAUUGGUCAGUCUGUCUUAAAAGUUCGGGGCUUCACCCCGUGAUGUGAUGGAAACUGCCAAUCUAGAGUAUCGGAGAGGAAAGUGGAAUUCCUAGUGUAGCGGUGAAAUGCGUAGAUAUUAGGAAGAACACCAGUGGCGAAGGCGACUUUCUGGACGAAAACUGACGCUGAGGCGCGAAAGCCAGGGGAGCGAACGGG
This 429-nucleotide ribosomal RNA is filed under the name bacterium. Its description in RNAcentral is "partial 16S ribosomal RNA". It matches the Rfam family "Bacterial small subunit ribosomal RNA", at positions 355 to 776 of the family's 1533-position model. The record is from RNAcentral.